GUCAGGUGUGGUGGUACAUUCCUUUAGUCCCUAGAAGCUGGGUCCAGGAGCUCUAGGCUGUAGUGUGCUAUGCUGAUUAGAUGUUUCCAUUGUUUGGCAUCAGUAUAGUGACUUUCCAGGAGCAGGGACCAACAGAGAUUGCCAAAGAGUUUGGAGCCGACCAAGGCUGAAAAUGGAGCAAGUCACACCCCAGAGAUGGUCAGUAAUGGGAUCACCCAUGAAGAGCCACUGCAUGCUAGCCUGGGCCAGAGU
RNAcentral lists this non-coding RNA (252 nucleotides) under Mus caroli (Ryukyu mouse). Lineage: Eukaryota; Metazoa; Chordata; Mammalia; Rodentia; Muridae. The record is from RNAcentral.